Molecule: transfer RNA, 74 nt
Filed under: Thalassospira xiamenensis
Lineage: Bacteria; Pseudomonadati; Pseudomonadota; Alphaproteobacteria; Rhodospirillales; Thalassospiraceae
Description: tRNA_Asp_GTC
Rfam family: tRNA
About the family: Transfer RNA (tRNA) molecules are approximately 80 nucleotides in length.
Source: RNAcentral
GGUGGUGUAGCUCAGUUGGUUAGAGCAUCGGCUUGUCACGUCGAAGGUCGCGGGUUCGAGUCCCGUCAUCACCG